Molecule: ribosomal RNA, 253 nt
Filed under: uncultured bacterium
Lineage: Bacteria
Also listed under: 1 other name
Description: partial 16S ribosomal RNA
Rfam family: Bacterial small subunit ribosomal RNA
Source: RNAcentral
GACGAACCGUGCAAACGUUGUUCGGAAUCACUGGGCUUAAAGGGCGCGUAGGCGGGCGGCCAAGUCAGGGGUGAAAUCUUUCGGCUCAACCGGAAAAUUGCCUUUGAAACUGGCUGUCUCGAGGGAGGUAGGGGCAUGUGGAACUUCCGGUGGAGCGGUGAAAUGCGUUGAUAUCGGAAGGAACGCCGGUGGCGAAAGCGACGUGCUGGACCUCUUCUGACGCUGAGGCGCGAAAGCUAGGGGAGCGAACGGG